UACGAAGGGGGCUAGCGUUGUUCGGAAUUACUGGGCGUAAAGGGCGCGUAGGCGGCUCUGAUCGUUGGAUGUGAAAGGCCUGGGCUCAACCUGGGAAUGGCAUCCGAUACGGCGGGGCUGGAGUGUGGGAGAGGUUGGUGGAAUUCCCAGUGUAGAGGUGAAAUUCGUAGAUAUUAGGAAGAACACCGGUGGCGAAGGCGGCCCACUGGUCCGGUACUGACGCUGAGGUGCGAAAGCGUGGGGAGCAAACAGG
RNAcentral lists this ribosomal RNA (253 nucleotides) under uncultured bacterium. RNAcentral's name for it is "partial 16S ribosomal RNA". It matches the Rfam family "Bacterial small subunit ribosomal RNA", at positions 524 to 776 of the family's 1533-position model. The record is from RNAcentral.